RNAcentral lists this transfer RNA (71 nucleotides) under Loxodonta africana (African savanna elephant). It matches the Rfam family "tRNA". From Rfam's summary of the family: Transfer RNA (tRNA) molecules are approximately 80 nucleotides in length. Their secondary structure includes four short double-helical elements and three loops (D, anti-codon, and T loops). The record is from Rfam by way of RNAcentral. Lineage: Eukaryota; Metazoa; Chordata; Mammalia; Proboscidea; Elephantidae.
ACGAUGGUGGUUCAGUAGGAGAAUUCUCGCCUUCCACGCAGGCAAUCAGGGUUCAAUUCCUGGUCAACGCA